Long non-coding RNA from Diospyros lotus (date-plum), 1051 nucleotides. RefSeq lists it as uncharacterized. NCBI's taxonomy places the organism in Eukaryota, Viridiplantae, Streptophyta, Magnoliopsida, Ericales, Ebenaceae. The record is from RefSeq and is a predicted model, not a curated record. The transcript has 3 exons.
AGUUGCAUCUGUUGCAUUUCGCAGGACUUUUAUCUCCUGGUAUCAACCUGUGCAUGCACUAGGAACACAAAUGUUGUUGAGCGGAUCACAAUCUACAUUACUGAUUUGCUUUUAUUUUUCCUUUUGCUAGAUUUUAUGUUUUUGAACUCCGCCGUUGGAUUCAUAUGUACCGCUGGUUUUGGCAGCUCACAUAUGCACAUGACUCCUUUUUUGUUAUUAUUUUUUCCUCCCUUACACUUUGGUUAGUUGUGCCAAUCAGUCAGUUCAAGUAUGUUCUGACUUAUUGUUAUACUAUUUAUCUGAGCUGAAAUUUCUGUUGGCAAUUUUCUUAUUUGCUUGUAUUUCUGCUUCUCUUUUAUGGCGUCAUGCCUGUGGGAGAUGGGUGUUUAUGUUUUUUGAUCUGACCUCAUUAUUCUGUAUUGUCCAGGCAAUUCAAGGAGAGAAGUGGCGUAGUACUAUUUAGUGCAUGAAGAAAGGAUAACCAGCGGGGUGGGAAGGUAGCUAGAUAUGCUCUCUUGUGAUUUCACCUAGACAAUCAAGUGAUUGAAAUCUGGCGGUGGAUUUGGCCAAUUAGCCCCGAGUGAGGUGAUGACGACAGACUAGGAAAUGGAAAUGGAUGGUGACUCUAAUUGCUGCCGCCAGGCGCAGACAAUGAGGAAAGCAGGAGAGUCAAUCGAGAAGGGUGAGCGGAGAGGUAAGGCAAGGCAAGGCAAUAUAACAUCAAAACCUGUUUAAGCCAAAUUAAAAAAUAAAAACCUCAUAUAAAAUCUUCCUUGCUCUCUCUCUCUCUCUCUCUCUCUCUCUCGUAGUACGAACAUGGAGGAUCGUGCUCGCAAAGCCCCAACAAUAGAAGAUCAAAAAGCUCCACCACUCAAAAUUUGUGAUUUUCAAGUCCCGUGAUUCAUUCCGAACAAUCUCCAGUCUUGCAUUAUGGAAAUUGAUCAGCUACAAUGGAGAUGCACUAGAUUUGGAUGCAAAGCUCCUCGCCGAGGCCAAUCCCGAGCAUCUCAUCGCUUGGAAUUUCAAAAAAAGUAAGAACCGUACCUUUCUC